Molecule: RNase P RNA, 371 nt
Filed under: Oscillospiraceae bacterium
Lineage: Bacteria; Bacillati; Bacillota; Clostridia; Eubacteriales; Oscillospiraceae
Description: RNase P RNA component class A
Rfam family: Bacterial RNase P class A
About the family: Ribonuclease P (RNase P) is a ubiquitous endoribonuclease, found in archaea, bacteria and eukarya as well as chloroplasts and mitochondria. Its best characterised activity is the generation of mature 5'-ends of tRNAs by cleaving the 5'-leader elements of precursor-tRNAs.
Source: RNAcentral
UGAGCCGGCUGGGCAGUCGCGCGGAGAGAUCCGUGAGGAAAGUCCGAGCCCCAUAGAGCGGGAUAGCGGCCAACGGCCGCCGAGGGUGACCUUAGGGAAAGUGCAACAGAGAGAUACCGCCAUGCUGGACUUAAAGUCUAGCAUGGUAAGGGUGGAAAGGCGAGGUAAGAGCUCACCGGCGCGCGGGGAACCGCGCCGCCCUGCAAACCCUAUCCGGAGCAACACCGGCCGGGGAAGCAACUACGCUGUGCGUAUUGCGGCGCUUGCUCGGCGCUCAACCCCAACGGGUGGCAGGACCGUAUCAGCAAUGGUGCGGCAAGAUAAAUGAUUGCCUUCAAUGACAAAACUCGGCUUACAGGCCGGCUCACAAC